UGGCGAGCGCGUUAGCGCGAAGUCGUUGAUACCACGCUUCCAAGAAAAGUCUCGUGGGGAGUCUGCAGGGUGUCCGUACCGCAAACCGACACAGGUGGGUGAGGAGAAAAUCCUAAGGCGAUUGAGAGAACUCUCUCCAAGGAACUCGGCGAAUUACCACCGUAACUUCGGAAGAAGGUGGGCCCUCCGUAGGUGUAGUCGUACAGACGAAGCCGAUGAGGGUUGCAGAGAAAUGGCGGUAGCGACUGUUUACCAAAAACACAGGACUCUGCGAAGACGACAAGUCGACGUAUAGGGUCUGACUCCUGCCCGGUGCUGGAAGGUUAAGGGGAUUCGUCAGCCGCAAGGCGAAGCGAUGAUCCGAAGCCCCAGUAAACGGCGGCCGUAACAAUAACGGUCCUAAGGUAGCGAAAUUCCUUGUCGGGUAAGUUCCGACCUGCACGAAUGGAGUAACGACUUCCGCGCUGUCUCGGAGAGGGACUCAGCGAAAUUGAAAUAGCUGUGCCGAUGCAGUUUACCCGCAGCAAGACGGAAAGACCCCGUGAACCUUUACUACAACUUGACAGUGACACUAGGGAUUGACUGUGUAGGAUAGGUGGGAGCCUUUGAAACCGGGCCGCUAGGUUCGGUGGAGGCAACGGUGAAAUACCACCCUGUUGAUUUCUGGUGUCUAACCGUGUCCCAUAAUCUGGGAUCGGGACACUGUCUGGUGGGUAGUUUGACUGGGGGUCGCCUCCCAAAGCGUAACGGAGGCGCGCGAUGGUUCCCUCAGCCCGAUUGGAAACCGGGCGGCGAGUGCAAUGGCAUAAGGGAGCUUAACUGCGAGACAGACAUGUCGAGCAGGUGCGAAAGCAGGUCAUAGUGAUCCGGUGGUUCUGAAUGGAAGGGCCAUCGCUCAACGGAUAAAAGGUACUCCGGGGAUAACAGGCUUAUCUCCUCCAAGAGUUCACAUCGACGAGGAGGUUUGGCACCUCGAUGUCGGCUCAUCGCAUCCUGGGGCUGGAGCAGGUCCCAAGGGUUUGGCUGUUCGCCAAUUAAAGCGGUACGCGAGCUGGGUUCAAAACGUCGUGAGACAGUUUGGUCCCUAUCUGCUGUGGGCGUAGGAUACUUGAGAGGAUCUGUCCUUAGUACGAGAGGACCGGGAUGGAGACACCUCUGGUGUACCAGUUGUCACGCCAGUGGCAUCGCUGGGUAGCCAUGUGUCGAUUGGAUAACCGCUGAAAGCAUCUAAGCGGGAAACCGACCUCAAGAAUAGGUAUCCCGGGGGAAACCCCCUGAAGACCCGUCGGAGACUACGACGUUGAUAGGCCGGGUGUGUAAGCGUGGCAACACGUUGAGCUAACCGGUACUAAUUGGUCGUGCGGCUUACUUCC
Molecule: ribosomal RNA, 1373 nt
Filed under: metagenome
Description: bacterial LSU rRNA
Rfam family: Bacterial large subunit ribosomal RNA
Source: RNAcentral